RNAcentral lists this ribosomal RNA (502 nucleotides) under uncultured bacterium. RNAcentral describes it as "partial 16S ribosomal RNA". It matches the Rfam family "Bacterial small subunit ribosomal RNA", at positions 28 to 523 of the family's 1533-position model. The record is from RNAcentral.
GACGAACGCUAGCGGCAGGCCUAACACAUGCAAGUCGAGGGGCAGCACAGAAACAGCAAUGUUUUGGUGGCGACCGGCGGACGGGUGCGUAACGCGUAUGCAACCUACCUUUAACAGGGGGAUAACGGAGAGAAAUUUCCACUAAUACCCCAUAACAUCGAUCAAGGCAUCUUGAUUGGUUGAAAACUCCGGUGGUUAAAGAUGGGCAUGCGUUGUAUUAGGUAGUUGGUGAGGUAAUGGCUCACCAAGCCUACGAUACAUAGGGGGACCGAGAGGUUAGCCCCCCACACUGGUACUGAGACACGGACCAGACUCCUACGGGAGGCAGCAGUGAGGAAUAUUGGUCAAUGGGGGCAACCCUGAACCAGCCAUGCCGCGUGCAGGAAGACGGCUCUAUGAGUUGUAAACUGCUUUUAAACAGGGAUAAAGCACAGUAUGUAUACUGUGUUGAAGGUACUGUAAGAAUAAGGAUCGGCUAACUCCGUGCCAGCCGCCGCAGUAA